Molecule: ribosomal RNA, 390 nt
Filed under: uncultured Thalassiosira
Lineage: Eukaryota; Bacillariophyta; Thalassiosirophyceae; Thalassiosirales; Thalassiosiraceae
Description: partial 23S ribosomal RNA
Rfam family: Bacterial large subunit ribosomal RNA
Source: RNAcentral
GCUUUACUGUAACUUGAAAUUGAAAUUGGACUUUAUUCGCGCAGUAUAGGUGGGAGGUGUUGAUUAUAAUCUUGCGGGAUUAUUGGAGCCAUCAGUGAGAUACCACUCUUGUAAUGUUAGAUUUCUAACUUUGAAUCAUUAUCUGGUCAAAGGACAGUUUCAGGCGGGCAGUUUGACUGGGGCGGUCGCCUCCUAAACGGUAACGGAGGCGUACAAAGGUUUCCUCUGAACGGUUAGAAAUCGUAUCUAGAGUGUAAAGGCAUAAGGAAGCUUGACUGUGAGACCUACAAGUCGAGCAGGGACGAAAGUCGGUCUUAGUGAUCUGACGGUACUGAGUGGAAAGGCCGUCACUCAACGGAUAAAAGUUACUCUAGGGAUAACAGGCUGAAA